Molecule: ribosomal RNA, 446 nt
Filed under: uncultured bacterium
Lineage: Bacteria
Description: partial 16S ribosomal RNA
Rfam family: Bacterial small subunit ribosomal RNA
Source: RNAcentral
CCUACGGGGGGCAGCAGUCGAGAAUCAUUCACAAUGGGGGAAACCCUGAUGGUGCGACGCCGCGUGGGGGAAUGAAGGUCUUCGGAUUGUAAACCCCUGUCAUGUGGGAGCAAAUUAAAAAGAUAGUACCACAAGAGGAAGAGACGGCUAACUCUGUGCCAGCAGCCGCGGUAAUACAGAGGUCGCAAGCGUUGUUCGGAAUCACUGGGCGUAAAGCGUGCGUAGGCUGUUUCGUAAGUCGUGUGUGAAAGGCGCGGGCUCAACCCGCGGACGGCACAUGAUACUGCGAGACUAGAGUAAGGGAGGGGGAACCGGAAUUCUCGGUGUAGCAGAGAAAUGCGUAGAUAUCGGGAGGAACACUCGUGGCGAAGGCGGGUUCCUGGACAUUAACUGACGCUGAGGCACGAAGGCCAGGGGAGCGAAAGGGAUUAGAUACCCUUGUAGUC